RNAcentral lists this ribosomal RNA (481 nucleotides) under uncultured bacterium. Its description in RNAcentral is "partial 16S ribosomal RNA". It matches the Rfam family "Bacterial small subunit ribosomal RNA", at positions 28 to 507 of the family's 1533-position model. The record is from RNAcentral.
GAUGAACGCUGGCGGCGUGCCUAACACAUGCGAGUCGAACGGAGAUUACGGACGGAAGUUUUCGGAUGGAAGCCUGUAAUUCUUAGUGGCGGACGGGUGAGUAACGCGUGGGCAACCUGCCCUAUACAGGGGGAUAGCAGCUGGAAACGGCUGGUAAGACCGCAUAAGUCGGUUAAAUCGCAUGAUUUGAUCGGGAAAUGAGCAAUCAGGUAUAGGAUGGGCCCGCGUCCGAUUAGCCAGUUGGCAGGGUAAAAGCCUACCAAAGCGACGAUCGGUAGCCGGACUGAGAGGUCGGACGGCCACAUUGGGACUGAGACACGGCCCAAACUCCUACGGGAGGCAGCAGUGGGGGAUAUUGCACAAUGGAGGAAACUCUGAUGCAGCGACGCCGCGUGAGUGAAGAAGUAUUUCGGUAUGUAAAGCUCUAUCAGCAGGGAAGAUGAUGACGGUACCUGACUAAGAAGCCCCGGCUAACUACGUA